RNAcentral lists this transfer RNA (65 nucleotides) under Antarctonemertes valida. RNAcentral's name for it is "tRNA-Gly". The record is from RNAcentral. Lineage: Eukaryota; Metazoa; Nemertea; Enopla; Monostilifera; Oerstediidae.
GUUUUUUUAGUAUAACUUUAGUACAUUUGCCUUCCAAGCAUAGGGUUUAUUUAAUAAAAAAAAUA